GUCUACGGCCAUACCACCCUGAACACACCAGAUCUUGUCUGAUCUCGGAAGCUAAGCAGGGUCAGGCCUGGUUAGUACUUGGAUGGGAGAAAUCUCAGGGGGUUAACA
Molecule: ribosomal RNA, 108 nt
Organism: Erinaceus europaeus (western European hedgehog)
Lineage: Eukaryota; Metazoa; Chordata; Mammalia; Eulipotyphla; Erinaceidae
Source: Ensembl